RNAcentral lists this unclassified non-coding RNA (284 nucleotides) under plant metagenome. Its description in RNAcentral is "partial contains small subunit ribosomal RNA, internal transcribed spacer 1, and 5.8S ribosomal RNA". The stretch from base 1 to 53 matches the Rfam family "Eukaryotic small subunit ribosomal RNA", at positions 1779 to 1831 of the family's 1831-position model. The record is from RNAcentral.
GGAGUAAAAGUCGUAACAAGGUUUCCGUAGGUGAACCUGCGGAAGGAUCAUUAUUGUAUAACCGAGGUGCGAGGGCUGUCGCUGACCCGAAAGGUCGUGCACGCCCGAGUGCCCUCACACACAUCCAUCUCACCCCUAUGUGCACCACCGCGUGGGUCCCCCUUUGGCUUGUUCGGAGGGGGGCUUACGCUUUCACACAAACUUUGUAUGCAGUGUAGAAUGUAUUUUUUGUUUUUGCGAUCACGCAAUCAAUACAACUUUCAACAACGGAUCUCUUGGCUCUC